AAGCGGCCGCAGAGCGGCCCAGAGUUCGCAGGUCUGGGGCUCUCUUCCCAGAGAGCUCGUAGGGGAGGACAGUCAAGGGACUCAAGCGUCUCUCUUGACUCCCCUUCUCUCGCUGUGCAGUGGCGGUGCCGAGGGGCCGACGCUCAGGGCUAAUCUCUAUCAGUCACCCUCGAGGCCCCGGGUAAUAUUGGGUGGAUCACAAGAACUAAUCUUUCAUGAUUUGGAAACUGGAAGGAAAGAAGCACUUUUGUAGCUGACUCACCUCAAUGACAUGACCAGUGUCUGAGCCUACAACUGCGCUACCUUCUCUGGAUUUUUCUUCACCUUUUCCUCAUUCACGAGCCAGAACUGCAUGUCCAAGGAGUUAUACAUUUGCUAGAAGGGGAUGACCAAUUCAGCUCUGAGUUUCCUGGGAGCCAAAGCCAAGAGCUCCAUGUCCACAAAAUCGAAGACCAAGUACUCAGAAGAACAGCUUUUCCUGAUACAAGUAGUUAAGAGAAGCUUUCUCCAGGAACCCUCAUAGAGACAACCUUGCAUGAUGCAGUGGACAGCACCCUUAGCAUGCUCCACAAGGGUCAUUCUGCAGUCUCUUUCAGCACUGGAUAACGGCACUCUGUCUCAAAGGUAGACUCUAAGUUGAUAGCAUCCUUAGACUCUGUCCUAAUAUUACCAAGAACACAAUUUAGCAUAUGUACCCCCCUCAAUGGGGACCCUCCUACCAUCUUGCAAGAAAUCCUCUGUGAGACUAGACUUUGGGUGAGAACAGACAACAGGGAGUUGGAGGCUUCAUUCUCUGGCACCAGUUAGCCUGGUCGGGAGAAUUUCCACAUGCUUGGAGGUGCAGUUGAGAUAAUCCACAAAGCUGAAGGCAGGGUCAACAACCUCCCAUGCAAGUUAAGGACACCUAGGCAAGUGUGUGUAUGCCUGAGGGCAGGACCAACACAUUUCCCAGGAAACCACACAGCACAAACUGGUUAAGAAUAUGGGCUGUUUAGCGCUGGAUCACGCCUGUAAUCCCAGCACUUUGGGAGGCCAAGGCUGGUGGAUUACUUGAAGUCAGGAGUUUGAGACCAGCCUGACCAGUAUGAUGAAAACCCUGUCUCUACUAAAAAUACAAAAAUUAGCCGGACGUGGUGGUGCAUGCCGGUAAUCCCAGCUACUCGGGAGGCUGAGGCAAGAGAAUCACUUGAACCCAGGAGGCGGAGGUUGCAGUGAGCCAAGAUUGUGCCAUUGCAUCCUAGCCUGGGCAACAGAGUGAGACUGUGUCUCAAAAGAAGAAAAAGAGUGUGGGCUAUGAGGUCACGAAAUUUGGAUUAAAAUCCUGGUUUUAUCACUUUCUAGGUAUUUGACCUUGGGUAAGUUUCCUCAGAUAUAAAAGGAGAAUAGUAGCAGUAGCUCACUUAUGGGGUUGCUGAAAAAAAUAAAUACAAUAAUGUGGUAAACCAUUAAGGACAAAUAUCUAGUACAAAAUAACGCUCACAGAACAUUGGGAAUUAUUGAUAACAUUAUUGUAAUAUUUAAAAAUAAAUGAAAAAUAGGCACACAUUUGAACACAUGGAAAAUGGACAUUUGGAACUCUAGAAUUUUCUGCCAGAAAACAUGGCUACAAUAAUUUAAGUCUAGAAAAAUGUGGAAGGGGGAAUAGCUAUCCAAUAAAGGGGGAAUAAUUUUCUAAUAAAAUCCUCCCAAACACCCAUAAAUAUUACUUCCUGCAAAAUCAUUCAAGAAGUAUUUGCUACACAAUGUAACAGAAAACAAGUGAUUUGAUUCUACUUUAUAUAUCUUUGACAAUAAAUUGAUUAAGUCUUGGGUGAAAUUUAUGGAAAAUAAUUUUUUUUUGAGGAGAAUUGCUGUUUAGCCAUUCUUACUGAUAAUAGUCAACAGGGCCAUCUAUCUGAUGAGCUCAUUUCUAGUUCACAGCAUUGACCCAUCCACAGAGUGGAGAAUUGUGCCCUUUCAUUCUCUAGAGUGGUUAGUGAUGUCAGGAGUUGUAUUUUUGACUCAAUAAAGUGAAAAUAUUUACUUUAAAAAUAAUUAUCACCUGAGAGUGUCAUCGUCUCUGUGAAAUGAAAAUAAAAUCUCGGGACCCCCAAUUCACUAUGCCAAAAGGGAGAAGUUUGGAAGCUGAUUCACAACCCCCUCCUCCCUGUUCCCCAAAAUUGCCUUUCCUUUUGUUCCUAAACUGAUAGCUACAGAUAGAAGGCCACAUGUCUUCACAGCUUCCAUCACCCUGACAAUGUAAAUUAAUAGCUUAUCUUCAUGGGUUACAAGACAAGAGGAGACUAGAAGUUGUCCCCUCACCCACCUGAAAAUAAAUGCAUAUUUGACUGCUUCCUCUACUCUCUGUUUACUUUUACUUUAUCUUAUGUAAAGCACAGAUUUACUGAGUGCAAGAUGAAUACAUAGUUGACCAUUCCCUUUACCCCUCCUUUUCAUGUGCAAUGGGCAGAUUCACAAGAAUGUCCCCAAACCCUCCCUCUUUCCCUCCAUCCCUUUCCGCUCCUGCCCACUUUUCCCCUUUAAAUAUCGAAACCCUCAAAAUCCUGUUUGGAAAAAGUGUGAGCCACAGAUCCUACUGUGGUUUCUGUUUCUUUUUUUCUGGGUGCAUCUUAAAUCUUGGCUGAAAAGAAAAAAAAAAACCCUCUAAAAUGAUUGAGACUCACUUCAGUCAUUUUCUUUGAUUUAUGUCUCUAUCCAGAUGUGGUUUUAUUGACCACAGUUCUCCCAAUGAUUCAGUUUUAAGAUGCAGGAUCUAUCGCAGUGGCUCACACCUGUAAUCCCAGCACUUUGGGAGGCCAAGGCAGGUGGAUCACCUGAGGUCAGGAGUUCGAGACCAGUCUGGCCAACAUGGUGAAACCCCGUCUCUACUAAAAAUACAAAAAAAAAAAAAAAAAAAAAAAAUUAGCUGGGCGUGGUGGCGUGCACUUGUAAUCCCAGCUACUCAGGAGGCUGAGGCGGAAAAUUGCUUGAACCAGGGAGGUGAAUGUUGGAGUGAGCCAAGA
Long non-coding RNA from Pongo pygmaeus (Bornean orangutan), 3002 nucleotides. RefSeq lists it as uncharacterized. The record is from RefSeq and is a predicted model, not a curated record. NCBI's taxonomy places the organism in Eukaryota, Metazoa, Chordata, Mammalia, Primates, Hominidae. The transcript is spliced from 3 exons.